This 380-nucleotide ribosomal RNA is filed under the name uncultured eukaryote. Its description in RNAcentral is "partial 18S ribosomal RNA". It matches the Rfam family "Eukaryotic small subunit ribosomal RNA", at positions 592 to 976 of the family's 1831-position model. The record is from RNAcentral.
CAAUAGCGUAUAUUAAAGUUGUUGCGGUUAAAAAGCUCGUAGUUGGAUUUCUGCUGAGAACGACCGGUCCGCCCUUUGGGUGUGUAUCUGGCUCUUUCUUGGCAUCUUCUUGGUGAACGUUGCUGCACUUGACUGUGUGGAGCGCUACCCAGGACUUUUACUUUGAGGAAAUUAGAGUGUUUCAAGCAGGCAUACGCCUUGAAUACAUUAGCAUGGAAUAAUAAGAUAGGACCUCGGUUCUAUUUUGUUGGUUUCUAGAGCUGAGGUAAUGAUUAAUAGGGAUAGUUGGGGGCAUUCGUAUUUAACUGUCAGAGGUGAAAUUCUUGGAUUUGUUAAAGACGGACUACUGCGAAANCANNNGUCAAGGAUGUCUCCAUNAA